GACGAACGCUGGCGGCGUGCUUAACACAUGCAAGUCGAACGGAAAGACCCUGCUUUCUUGUGGUUCUCGAGUGGCGAACGGGUGAGUAACACGUGAGUAUCCUUCCCUUGACUUUGGGACAUCUUCAGGCAACUGCUGCUAAUACCUGAUAGGUGCUGCUGCUAGAUGGUGGGCGUUGGACCUUUUCGUCGGUUGUGGAUGGACUCGCGGCUCAUCAGCUUGUUGGUGGGGUAGUGGCUUACCAAGGCCUUGUCGGGUAGCCUGCAUGAGAGGGUGACCGGGGACAAUGGGACUGAGAUAGGGCCAAGACUAGUACGGGAGGCAGCAGUGGGGAGUAUUGAACAAUGGGCGGCAGCGUGAUGAAGCAACGCUGCGAGUGGGAUGCCGGCCUUGGGGUGGUGAACCGCUUUAGCUUAUGACGAAGCGUGAGUGACGGUAAUGGGUAAAGAAGCACCGGCUAACUUCGUG
RNAcentral lists this ribosomal RNA (468 nucleotides) under uncultured bacterium. Its description in RNAcentral is "partial 16S ribosomal RNA". It matches the Rfam family "Bacterial small subunit ribosomal RNA", at positions 28 to 507 of the family's 1533-position model. The record is from RNAcentral.